GAACCCUGUUCAUUAUAAUUCAAAGUUUGUGUGACUUGCUACAGCUAAUUGCGGCUAAUCGAUGAGGUCCUUGGCAGAGUGCAAUGGCAACAAUCCUAUUGAUUAUCGUGUGACUUGCUACAGCUAAUAGCAGCUAAUCGAUGAGGUCCUUGGCAGAGUACAAUGGCCAGAAUCCUGUUGACUAUCAUUCAAUGUUUGUGUGACUUGUUGUAGCUAAUCACGGCUAAUCAUUGAGGUGCUGUCACAUCUUGGUUGUGUGUCUGGCUGUGCCAUGGAGAUGGCAAGUGACACCAACACCAGCCGAGCCGGUGUGUGUAUGUUUCUCUCCCAAGUUCUGCAAGGCCAAAUCUAGCUAUUUUAAAUAGGACAAUUAAAUUUCGGACACUCUCCUUCUGAAGAACUAAGAGCUGCUCUCAUCUCUGCCCGGUGCAGGAGGGGCCUGGAGACCAUCGCUGGGAAUGUUACCUUUGCCGCCGGAUGCACCUUCCCCAGGUGUGACUGGUACCGCCCGGCUGAAUGUUUCUCUCCCAAGUUCUGCAAGGCCAAAUCUAGCUAUUUUAAAUAGGACAAUUAAAUUUCGGACACUCUCCUUCUGAAGAACUAAGAGCUGCUCUCAUCUCUGCCCGGUGCAGGAGGGGCCUGGAGACCAUCGCUGGGAAUGUUACCUUUGCCGCCGGAUGCACCUUCCCCAGGUGUGACUGGUACCGCCCGGCUGAAGUGAAAGCUGCAGUACAAGCCGCAGACAUCGCGAUUGUGUGCCUGGGGACCGGAAUUGAUGUGGAGACGGAAGCAGUGGACCGGAAGGGCCUGGACUUGCCGGGCCACCAGCUGGACCUCCUGCAGGAUGUUGUGGCCUGGGCGGCCGGCCGGCCCGUGAUUCUACUGCUGUUCAACGCAGGCCCCCUCGAUGUCAGUUGGGCCAAAGCUCACGACGGGGUGGGAGCCAUCUUGGCCUGUUUCUUUCCUGCUCAAGCCACCGGCCUGGCGAUUGCCAAGGUCUUGGUGGGAGAGGAAGGAGCCAACCCGGCCGGCCGGCUCCCUGCCACAUGGCCGGCAGGGAUGCACCAGGUCCCCCCAAUGGAGAACUACACCAUGGCUGGACGGACGUACCGCUACUAUGGAGACGAUCCUCCGCUGUACCCCUUUGGCUACGGGCUCUCCUACACCCUUUUCCGAUACAGCGACCUGGCGCUGGGAGCCGAGGUGGUGCCCGUUUGUGGGAACCUCAGCCUCUCGGUGGUGGUGGAGAACGUUGGCCCCCGAGACGGCGAGGAGGUGGUGCAGCUCUACCUCCGGUGGGGAGAGGCCUCCGUGCCCGUCCCCCGCUGGCAGCUGGUCGGCUUCCGUCGCGUGCUGGUACCCCAAGGCCAGGCGACCAAGGUGCCCUUCCUGCUCUCCUUCCGCCAGAGAGCCGUCUGGGCUGGGGAGUGGCGCCUGGAGCCCGGCUCUUUCAGCCUUUUCGCCGGCGGGCAGCAGCCCUUCCAGGAAACCCGUGUCCCUUCCAACGUCCUGCGAGCAGAUUUCAGCGUCUCCGGAAGCGCCCGCAAGAGAAGCCAGUGCUAAUUUCUGGCACUCCUGAUAAAUGUUCUGAAAACCAACCAGGAAGCUCAUUAAGCUCAUUUUUUUAAAGAAAAUGCAGGGAAAAAAAUCUGAUUUACUGCCUAUAUAAUUGCUGGGAUCAUGAACUUUCAUCUGGACAUCUACCACCAGGUUGUGUUUUUGUUGUGGGUGUAUUGUUGUGAUAAGGAGGAGAGAUUAUCUGUCACAGUGAUUGAUGGGUGUCAUUAGCUGGUCUUUUGUGUGUAGUGAUCACUGGUCCUUACGGCUGGGUAGAGUUCGUUGAACACAAAAAAACACACUGAUCACCAUAAUCACCCAUCUCCUGAACAGGACAAAAACCUGAUCCAACAGCUAUAAAUACUCAACUCCCAAACAAACUGCACCAGAGCACAGAGUGCUACUCCUGUCUUCUGAAGAUGGCCGGCCACAGAGACUGGCGAAACGUCAGGAAGAACAACCUUCAGAACACGGCCAAAGAGCCCGAAAAACCCACAACAAGUAUCAGAUCCCGGCCAUGAAAGCCUUCGCGAAUACAUAUCUAUGUCUUGUCUGUGUCUGCAAUUGUAAAUGUAAUUUUUAGGGGUUUUUUUUUACAUGAAAAUAAAUAAAAUCAGUAUGUCA
This is a long non-coding RNA of Pogona vitticeps (central bearded dragon), 2181 nucleotides long. NCBI's taxonomy places the organism in Eukaryota, Metazoa, Chordata, Lepidosauria, Squamata, Agamidae. The record is from Ensembl.